CGUUAGCGGCGGACGGGUGAGUAACACGUGGGUAACCUACCUAUAAGACUGGGAUAACUUCGGGAAACCGGAGCUAAUACCGGAUAAUAUUUCGAACCGCAUGGUUCGAUAGUGAAAGAUGGUUUUGCUAUCACUUAUAGAUGGACCCGCGCCGUAUUAGCUAGUUGGUAAGGUAACGGCUUACCAAGGCGACGAUACGUAGCCGACCUGAGAGGGUGAUCGGCCACACUGGAACUGAGACACGGUCCNAGACUCCUACGGGAGGGCAGCAGGC
Molecule: ribosomal RNA, 274 nt
Filed under: uncultured Staphylococcus sp.
Lineage: Bacteria; Bacillati; Bacillota; Bacilli; Caryophanales; Staphylococcaceae
Description: partial 16S ribosomal RNA
Rfam family: Bacterial small subunit ribosomal RNA
Source: RNAcentral